GUUCGGAUUGUAGUCUNCAACCCGACUACAUGAAGCUGGAAUCGCUAGUAAUCGCGGAUCAGAAUGCCGCGGUGAAUACGUUCCCGGGUCUUGUACACACCGCCCGUCACACCAUGGGAGUCGGAAAUGCCCGAAGUCUGUGACCCAACCUACGGGAGGGAGCAGCCGAAGGCAGGUCGGAUGACUGGGGGUGAAGUCGUAACAAGGUACC
Molecule: ribosomal RNA, 211 nt
Filed under: uncultured bacterium
Lineage: Bacteria
Description: partial 16S ribosomal RNA
Rfam family: Bacterial small subunit ribosomal RNA
Source: RNAcentral